Molecule: long non-coding RNA, 1079 nt
Filed under: Ficedula albicollis (Collared flycatcher)
Lineage: Eukaryota; Metazoa; Chordata; Aves; Passeriformes; Muscicapidae
Description: lncRNA (ENSFALG00000022983.1)
Source: RNAcentral
AUGCACUGUGGGGACAUUCCCAGCCCCUGCUGUCCCCAGCCCUCCUGCAGCACAGGCAGGGCUGAUCCUGAGUGCAGCAGUGCCACAGAGGAUGCACUGUGGGGACAUUCCCAGCCCCUCCUGCCCUGCCCCUCUCCCUCCUCCUCCUCCCGAGUGCCCUCAGAGUCUGAGCCCAGGCUGGGCUGUGACCCCCCCAGGCUCAGCCAAGCCCCCCCAGCCCCUGUGCCCCUGCCAGCUGUGGCCCGUGGGCUCAGCAGGGCAUGGCCAGCAGCCCUGGCCUUGCCUGGCCCACGCGUGCCCAGGGCAGAGCUUUGUGAGCUCCUCUGCCCUGGGGCCGGGUGUCCCCUGUGCCCUGGGUGGUGCCAGAAGUGUCCCCACGUGGCCCACGGGCUCUGCAGGCACCAGUGGCAGCAGCCCUUGCACAAACCCACCCAGCUCUGGCUGCCUGGGAAGGGGCCCCUGACUGAACAGGGUGCCAGAGCCAUGCUGAGCACAGAGCAGGGCAGGAGCACUGGCAGGGAACAGCAGGAGCCACAGCAGGAUGCAGGGCCAGAGCUGCCAGCACCAGGGCAGCGUGUCCAGACAUGGCAUCAGGCUGGCAAGCCUAUCCCUAAGACCAGACCUCCUGACUUCUGCCAUUCCUAAUCCACCAAGACGAGAGGUUAUUUAUGGGACUUGACAAAUUGUCUAGAGACUCACGUCGUCCAGCGAUCCCACGGACCCCCACUGCUUACCUGGCAAAAUUAUGACAACAAACCAUGCUAUAAAAGGGAGCUGCAAACCAAAGUUCGGUGGAGCACGGAGUGGGCUGUGACCUCUCUGCUUCCCCACCGCUGCUUGCUCUGUCUACAUAAAAUAAAGCGAUCUAAACUUUGCUAAAUAUCGAGACUUUUGUUCCUCAUUUAUCACACGCCCCUGGGGGGACCCCGAGGCGUGCGGGGAGGGUGCGGUGCCUCGCCUCGCCGCGGGGGGGGGGGGGGGGGGGGGGGGGGGGGGGGGGGGGGGGGGGGGGGGGGGGGGGGGGGGGGGGGGGGGGGGGGGGGGGGGGGGGGGGGGGGGGGGGGGGGGGGGGGGGGGGG